UCUGCUCUUGGUUUGGAUUGAUCUCACUAUGAAGCAGUGAGAUCAAUCCAAACCAAGAGCAGA
This 63-nucleotide microRNA precursor is filed under the name Xyrichtys novacula (pearly razorfish). Lineage: Eukaryota; Metazoa; Chordata; Actinopteri; Labriformes; Labridae. The record is from RNAcentral.